This 520-nucleotide long non-coding RNA is filed under the name Prunus dulcis (almond). RNAcentral's name for it is "sRNA ncRNA". The record is from RNAcentral. Lineage: Eukaryota; Viridiplantae; Streptophyta; Magnoliopsida; Rosales; Rosaceae.
CUAAGAAGCAUGGAUACGCACGGAGACCAGCGUAUCCCGUGUCGGAUACGCACGGAGACACGAUACGCAGUGGAUACGCUGAGAUACGCACGGGAUACGUAUCCGAGUCAACGGAUACGGUCAAUCACAAAAGGAUACCCGUAUCUGUUACGUAUCCCAAUUUGCAGAUACGAUUUAGGAAAUAAUUUCAGAAAAAAAACAGAAUUUGACACAACUAGGAAGUCCUAAACAACACGGGAUACCUGUUUUGUUUUGGAACUUUGAAGAUCUUUUCCUAAUUCCGACAGAUCUUCAUCUUCUUUAUAUAAAUAUAUGGGCAUAACGCUACCACCACCCAUCAAUUCAUCUUCUUCUUCUUCUUCAUCUUCUUCACCAGAAAAUAAAAGCAGCCUGGUUCUUCAAUUUGUCUUCAUCUGGUGGUUGUGGUUCAAUAUAAAAUCUGCUCUUUCUGUGUUUUUGGAGGCCGUCGUCGGUAUGUUUGCCUUUCUCUCUCUCUCUCUCUCUCUCUCUCUCUCUCUCU